AUAGCGUAUAUUAAAGUUGUUGCAGUUAAAAAGCUCGUAGUUGAACCUCGGGCCUGGCUGACCGGUCCGCCUCACCGCGUGCACUGGUUCGGCCGGGUCUUUCCUUCUGGCAAACCUCAUGCCCUUUACUGGGUGUGCUGGGGAACCAGGACUUUUACUUUGAAAAAAUUAGAGUGUUCAAAGCAGGCAUAUGCUCGAAUACAUUAGCAUGGAAUAAUAGAAUAGGACGUGCGGUUCUAUUUUGUUGGUUUCUAGAACCACCGUAAUGAUUAAUAGGGAUAGUCGGGGGCAUCAGUAUUCAAAUGUCAGAGGUGAAAUUCUUGGAUUAUUUGAAGACUAACUACUG
Molecule: ribosomal RNA, 346 nt
Filed under: uncultured eukaryote
Lineage: Eukaryota
Description: SSU rRNA
Rfam family: Eukaryotic small subunit ribosomal RNA
Source: RNAcentral